GGUAAAGUUUAAGAAUGUAACACAUUUUGACUUCAAAAGCAUUUGUAGUUGUUUCAUUUUGAAAGGCGCAUUAUUUUUUUAAUUAAAAACAUGAUUAUUACAGAAUGCUCAAUUUAUGGAUAUUGUAUUAAUUCAUUUUGAAACAUCAUAAAGAAAUGCCACAUUUUUUUGGUUCGAAAUUAGUAAAAUGUUAUUUGUGCGAUCAAAGAAUAAAGCUUGUGGUAGAAUAAGACCAUCUUUCUCUGACAGCAACAAUCGGUGUGUCUUUCCUUCUGGUGAUAUUAAAACUACAUUAUGAGAAUAAAAGCCCGAUACAUAAACACGCCCGUAAUUGUCCACUGUGAUACCUCGUGCUGUUUUAAGAAAUGUUGCAAGUUCUAAUUUCCAUUUCAAUGUCCCUUGAAGAUCACAACAUGUUACUGAAUCAUCAGUAUUUAUAUAAUAAAGUUGAUCUGACCAUAUUGCAAUACUGCUAUAUUUAGACAGGGUACCAUUAACUAACUGUGUAAUAGAGUCAGCAUCUAAACUUACAACACAUAAUCCACGUGUAUAUCCAUUAAAGAAAAAUGAUUCGUCAUUAUGAGCUAUUCCAUAAAUCUCUGUCCCGACAAUAAUGGAUUUCUCAGCUUUUCUGGUUUUCAUAUCGAAAAUUUUAAUGCAAGGGUUUUUAAAAUUACCAGAUGUUACCACAAUUGUUUGGCGUUCUGCUAUAAAGUAUAUAUGAGAUGCGUUCGAAGCUGCAUGUAAUGUAAAAUCUAACGACCCGUCGGUGUUUACCACAUUUAUUUGGCCAUUAGUGAAGCAGGUAAAAAUCGUUCUGCCAUCUGGUAGUAAGAUACAACUAGUAAUAUCUCUUCCUAUUGGUUUCAUGGUCUGUCUUAAAGUUAUUUUAAGAUCAUCAAUGGUAGGAACAUGUGCAAUGGGCAGCAUUAUCUGUGCUUGUUUGUUCUUUCUGCUUGCAUAUAUAGUAUCAUUUGGCCUGGUAUCCAAAAUAAUUGUUCCCAUCUUGUGUAUAGCUGAAGGUAGAGUGUCGAAAGUAUUUUCUUUUUCAAAAGAAAGGGUAACAUGAUUCAAUUUAUCUUCUUUCAAUAAAGCUUCUAGGAAUUUUUCGUUUUUUGUUACAUCUUGUUGGAUGUGUUUCAUAGCCAAGAACGUCUGGAGAUCUGAGGCAUAUUGUUUUAUUUUAUCUAAAUUGGUCUGGCAUUCUGUAUUCUCCCUUUCUUUCUCUUGUAUGGAUGAUAUUAAACAGCUGAUUUUCUUGUUUUCCUUUUCCUCAGCAACAUACAACUCUUUCAUCAGACUUUCCUGUAGUUUAUCCAGAUGAUUGUUGAUCAAUACUCGUGCUUGUACAAUCUCUUUUUCUAUGUUGAUCCUGUUCUCCUGAAGAAUUUUAAUGUUAUCUUGCCGAUCUUUUUUUAUCCUCUGUAAAUUUUCUGAAAGUUCUGCUAACAUAUGUUCCAUUUCCAAGAAUGCAUUUGAUGAUUUCACAUUUUUUAUUACGUCAUCAAUAGCGUUUAGCUCUUUGCAAUCAUCAUGCGUUUCAACAACACAUCGUCUACAGCAUGGACAAUCGUGUUUCUUACAAAAUAUAACGUAUUUUUCAUUGUGCUUUUGACAAGAUUGAGUUAUUUCAAAUAUAUUGAGAGGAAGCUUCUGGUACUCGGAGAUUGGAACAGUACUAUGUUCUCUGGUCCCUUUUGAAGCUGUGUGAUGCUCUUUACACUCCUCACAAAGUCCUUCGUCGCAUUCUGAACACCAGACCACCGAGGAGUUGUUGAUUUUGCGGUAUGCACAUACUCCACAUACAGUCAGUUUACCCGACAUGCUACAAAACAGAAGAGACAAAAAAUUCCUUUACC
This 1859-nucleotide long non-coding RNA is filed under the name Mytilus galloprovincialis (Mediterranean mussel). The record is from RNAcentral. Lineage: Eukaryota; Metazoa; Mollusca; Bivalvia; Mytilida; Mytilidae.